This is a long non-coding RNA of Cyprinus carpio carpio, 424 nucleotides long. The record is from Ensembl. Lineage: Eukaryota; Metazoa; Chordata; Actinopteri; Cypriniformes; Cyprinidae.
CUGAUGUGGAUCCUGACUGACAUCAUGUCUGCUUUCCUCAUCGCUGCUAUUUUCAUCUUCCACUGGUGGCGUGAGCGAGGUUUGCCGUUCUGGUCGGGCAGCAGACAGGUGAAUGAGACCGGGCCGUACAGCAAGUUCAGGACGGAGCUGAGCGACGUCUGGUCCAUCUCCAGCAUCAGCGUCCACAGAGAGGCUCAGAACUCGCCCGUCACUCCCAGCCUGCCCACCAUCAGCGAGGAGCCGCCCGUCUGAAGCCCCCCGACCGAGAUCUGCAUCAUCACACGUCCAUUCAGCGCUUCAGAGCGAUGCAGACAGCAAUCUGAGCUUCAAACCAGCGGCGGAAGAUGCUUUUCAUAAUCUAGUCUGGACGAGGGUCAAACUAGAACAUGACUUUAUGAACACUGAUAUUAAAUGACCCUCUAUU